Molecule: transfer RNA, 66 nt
Filed under: Hydropsyche formosana
Lineage: Eukaryota; Metazoa; Arthropoda; Insecta; Trichoptera; Hydropsychidae
Description: tRNA-Thr
Source: RNAcentral
GUUUUUAUAAUUUAAUUUAAAAUAUUGAUUUUGUAAAUCAAUCUUAAGACAUGAUCUUUAAAAACU